Molecule: ribosomal RNA, 253 nt
Filed under: uncultured bacterium
Lineage: Bacteria
Description: partial 16S ribosomal RNA
Rfam family: Bacterial small subunit ribosomal RNA
Source: RNAcentral
GACGGAGGGUGCAAGCGUUGUUCGGAAUUACUGGGCGUAAAGCGCGGGCAGGUGGCCUUUUAAGUCCUUUGUGAAAUUCCGGAGCUCAACUCCGGAUGUGCAUAGGAUACUGGAAGGCUAGAGACUGGUAGAGGCGAGCGGAAUUCCUGGUGCAGCGGUGGAAUGCGUAGAUAUCAGGAAGAACACCGGUGGCGAAGGCGGCUCGCUGGGCCAGUUCUGACACUCAUCCGCGAAAGCGUGGGGAGCAAACAGG